RNAcentral lists this ribosomal RNA (1596 nucleotides) under Triticum aestivum (bread wheat). Its description in RNAcentral is "partial small subunit ribosomal RNA". Lineage: Eukaryota; Viridiplantae; Streptophyta; Magnoliopsida; Poales; Poaceae. The record is from RNAcentral.
AUGUUGGGCAAGAAAGGAGAGGGCACGCCGACUGCAGCCCCGGACGCCAAGAAUCCUUACCUGAAGCAGCCGGCCGGCGAGAAUGCAGUUGGCUCGCGGACGGCCUCCGCGGACGAAACCUCUGACGGCGAGCAGUUGCUGAGCUUAUCUGAAGCUCUGUAUUCGAAGAGUUACGGUGAUGUACCGGUGGAGGUGUUCAUGACUGUGCCGGUCCGGCGGCCUCUUGACCGGCUCAAUCUGGCAGAUAUCAGCCGUGAAGCCGCAGGCAGGAUUGUGCUGGUGCAGGGCUUUGCGCAGACGAUAAAGAAGGUGAACAAGAACAUUACUCUGGUAGUCCUCAGAGAGGGUUUGAGCAGUAUCAAGUGUGUCGUGUUGGCGGAUGAUCCGGGGAUAUGCGAGGACAUGGUUACUUUCAUCCGGAAGCUGAAUAAGGAAAGCUUUGUUGAAGUUGAAGGACUAAUUGAGACGAUGCGUGGCACCCAGCAGAUUCGAGUCAAGAAGCUAUACUGUAUUGACGAGGCGGGUGGACUCCCAUUUCAGCUCGAGGAUGCAGCCCGAGGAGCACAUAAACAGUUUGACACGCAAGGAAAAAAGCUAGCCCAUGUUUCCCUCAGUGUUCGCUUGAACUCAAGGUUCUUUGAUCUCAGGAUUAGGGUCAGUCAGGCUGUCUUCUGGAUUCAGAGUGAAGUAACGACUCAUUUCAUGCAGUUUAUGAUCAAAGGGGGAUUCAUGUGUACCCAUACCCCCAAAAUUACUGGAGUUAGUGAGGGAGGAUCAGCGGUCUUUAAGGUGAACUACUUCAAAGAACAAGCGUCCCUGGCACAGUCACCCCAACUCUAUAAACAAAUGCUUAUCAACGGAGGAAUAAACCGAGUGUUUGAGGUCGGUCCUGUUUAUCGCGCAGAAGAUUCAAAUACUCACAGGCAUCUUUGCGAAUACAUAGGUCUUCAUGCAGAGAUGCAAAUCAAGGAGCAUUAUUUUGAGGUUAUAGAUUUCGUUGAUGCGCUGUUUGUUGACUUAUUUGAUCACCUGGCCAAAAACUGUUCAGAGAUGCUGGACAUAAUACAAGAACAAUACCCCUGUGAAAGACUGAAGUACCUUCAGCAAAAUGUGAGGCUCAAAUACUCCGAUGGAAUCAAAAUGUUACAAGAAUCGGGUUUUCCAAUCCAAGAGCCACAAGACUUAAACAAUAAGGCGGAGCUAAUGCUAGGGAAACUCGUCCUUGAGAAGUACAAAACAGAUUUCUUCAUAUUGUACGAGUUUCCAUUGGCAGUCAGACCAUUUUACACAAUGCCGUCCGGGCAAGAGCGUAAUCCUGGUAGUUACAGUAAUUCCUUCGAUGCUUACAUUAGAGGCCAAGAAGUCCUUUCAGGUUCUCAGAGGAUCCACAAUAAGUCGUUGCUGAUUAAAAGGAUAGAUGAGCGGGGAUAUAUCAAAGCAAUCUUUCAGCAGUUCACGGAUACUUUCGGGUGCGGAGCACCACCGAGAGGAGGUUUCGGAGCUGGACUCGAGCGGCUUGUGAUGCUUUACUUAGGAGUGCCGGAUAUUAGAAUUGCUUCACUUUUUCCGCGUGACCCUGGCCGCCUGGUUCCCUGA